RNAcentral lists this long non-coding RNA (542 nucleotides) under Vigna radiata. Its description in RNAcentral is "long non-coding RNA (VRAD_LNC016275)". The record is from RNAcentral. Lineage: Eukaryota; Viridiplantae; Streptophyta; Magnoliopsida; Fabales; Fabaceae.
GUAAAUUUAGGCAUACUUUUUACGAACUCGUCAUUAUUAUUUGUCUUUGUAACACUAUUUUCUCAAAUUUCAUAUGCUUCAUUCACCAAUACAACUAUUCCAUUCAUCAUUGUUUGUUAGUGUUGCAUUGCAAUUAUCUAUUCCUUUCCCUUUUUAUUCCACUCACCUAUUUUUCAUUUUUCUUUCACCAUUGUCCUCAACGUUUUGCAUUCUGCCACCACUUCUCACUAUUUCCACCAUCCUUUUUUGUUCCAUUCAUUUAUUUUUCAUUUUUCUUUCGCCAUUGUUCUCAACAUUUUGCAUUUUGCCUUUUCAUUAUUUCCACCAUCAUUGCUCGCUAUUUUGGCCACCACUUCUCAUCGCUACUGUUAUUGUUAUUUAAUACAAAAAUUAUGCAUUGUCUCUAAGUUUUAUGAAAAAAUAAUUUUUUUAGGAAACAAAAUUAAUUAUAUAUUGAAUCUUGAAUUGUCCGAUUGAACAAUUCAAGAAGAUUAAUCACUUUUUCUUAGUUUGUUAGUACAAAUAUAUUUUAAUAUGCAUAU